This 460-nucleotide ribosomal RNA is filed under the name uncultured bacterium. Its description in RNAcentral is "partial 16S ribosomal RNA". It matches the Rfam family "Bacterial small subunit ribosomal RNA", at positions 338 to 795 of the family's 1533-position model. The record is from RNAcentral.
CCUACGGGCGGCAGCAGUGAGGAAUAUUGGUCAAUGGGCGCGAGCCUGAACCAGCCAAGUAGCGUGAAGGAUGACUGCCCUACGGGUUGUAAACUUCUUUUAUAAAGGAAUAAAGUGAGGCACGUGUGCCUUUUUGUGUGUACUUUAUGAAUAAGGAUCGGCUAACUCCGUGCCAGCAGCUGCGGUAAUACGGAGGAUCCGAGCGUUAUCCGGAUUUAUUGGGUUUAAAGGGAGCGUAGAUGGGUUGUUAAGUCAGGUGUGAAAGGUUGCGGCUCAACCGUAAAAUUGCAAUUGAUACUGGCAGUCUUGAGUACUGGUGAGGUAGGCGGAAUUCGGGGUGUAGCGGUGAAAUGCUUAGAUAUCACGAAGAACUCCGAUUGCGAAGGCAGCUUACUAGACUGCCACUGACAUUGAGGCUCGAAAGCGUGGGUAUCAAACAGGAUUAGAUACCCCAGUAGUC